GUUAGUGUGGCAGAGCCCGGUAAAUGCAAAAGACCUAAGUCCUUUGACCCAGGGGUUCAACUCCCCUCACUAACU
Molecule: transfer RNA, 75 nt
Filed under: Bombina bombina (fire-bellied toad)
Lineage: Eukaryota; Metazoa; Chordata; Amphibia; Anura; Bombinatoridae
Description: tRNA-Leu
Rfam family: tRNA
About the family: Transfer RNA (tRNA) molecules are approximately 80 nucleotides in length.
Source: RNAcentral